AGUGAACGCUGGCGGUAGGCCUAACACAUGCAAGUCGAACGGCAGCACAGUAAGAGCUUGCUCUUACGGGUGGCGAGUGGCGGACGGGUGAGGAAUACAUCGGAAUCUACUUUUUCGUGGGGGAUAACGUAGGGAAACUUACGCUAAUACCGCAUACGACCUACGGGUGAAAGCAGGGGAUCUUCGGACCUUGCGCGAUUGAAUGAGCCGAUGUCGGAUUAGCUAGUUGGCGGGGUAAAGGCCCACCAAGGCGACGAUCCGUAGCUGGUCUGAGAGGAUGAUCAGCCACACUGGAACUGAGACACGGUCCAGACUCCUACGGGAGGCAGCAGUGGGGAAUAUUGGACAAUGGGCGCAAGCCUGAUCCAGCCAUACCGCGUGGGUGAAGAAGGCCUUCGGGUUGUAAAGCCCUUUUGUUGGGAAAAAAAAGCAGCAGGUGAAUACCCCGCUGUUCUGACGGUACCCAAAGAAUAAGCACCGGCUAACUUCGUG
This 492-nucleotide ribosomal RNA is filed under the name uncultured bacterium. RNAcentral's name for it is "partial 16S ribosomal RNA". It matches the Rfam family "Bacterial small subunit ribosomal RNA", at positions 29 to 507 of the family's 1533-position model. The record is from RNAcentral.